This is a non-coding RNA of Anas platyrhynchos (mallard), 7460 nucleotides long. The record is from RefSeq and is a predicted model, not a curated record. NCBI's taxonomy places the organism in Eukaryota, Metazoa, Chordata, Aves, Anseriformes, Anatidae.
GCUGGGAAGUGAUGUUUAGGGUAUGGCCAUGCUUGGCAAUAUCCUCUCUUGAGGACAUCUCCAGAAGCACCAUUCCAAACUGCUCUGGCCAGUGACCCAGCUCCCAUUCAGAAAUCUGCACGCAGGUGAGAACCAGGUCUGAUGGUCCUAGAAGAGGUAUGCGGACUGGUGAUGGGCCUGGGUCUACUGCCUCUGAGGGAAGCAGGACAGCAAGGUGGUAUCUGUCCAUCUUAUAUCUGCCCAAGGGGACUUUGGAGAAGGCACAAAUAUCAGGAAGACAGUCUUCAGUGAUGUGCUCCUUGCACUCACAUUGUCCCCAGGCUGGAGGCAGGCAAUCUUAUUGCCACUUUUCUUCUGCAAUUUUCUUUUCCAUGUUUCUCCCCACAUGCUCUUUCCAUUCCUGUGCUUAUUCCACUUUAAUUUUCUUGGCUUGCUAGUCAGCAAGCAAAGCAGGGACACUGUGCCCUUCCCUUCCAGCAGCAGUCCCUGUACUCAGCUGGGUGCCAUCCUGGUGCACCUCCGUGGGGUCUGGGCCAGGCAGCCGUGACAAAUGGAGUGCCAGUGCAGGACGAAUGCUACUGAUAUCCCCUAGAGAUGUUUCCUUAACUGUUAAGGCUCCCAGUGAUGGAAACUCCACACCUUCUCCAGGCAAUCCAUACCAGAGCUUCAUCAUCCAUCCUGCUAGACAGGCUUUCCAGAUACUGCCAUGAAUCUCUCUUGUGCAGCUUAAGUUCCUUUCUUCUUGCCUUGUCCACUGCAGACACAGAGAACAGAUUACUCUCUUUUCUGUCCCAACCCUUUAUAACCUUGCGGACUGUUAUCAUGCCUACCUUUCUGCAAGCUAAACGUGCCACCUCUUCCCACCUUUCUUUGAAGGACAUGUUUCCAGGCUUCUGACCAUUCUUGAUGCUGUCCCUGGGUGCUCUCCACAUGUUUCUUGAAGCAGAGGUCUUGAACCUCCUUGGGGAUGCCUGCAGGCAAUGUCUGCACAUCUCAUGAUGCUGGUCACCUUCUUACCAGCAAGCUGAACACCCUGGUCAAGCCAGGUCCCAUGCUACAGAGCUGCUACCAGACCAUUGUUUUCUGCCCCUGGCCUCUCUUGUCAGUUCCUGCCUCAUUUUGCUUUUGUUCCUCUUCAAUAUGAAAGAAAAAAAAAAAAAAAAAAAGGCUUUGUUCUUGUGUCCCCUCAGGUUUCUCAGUGGUUAGGAGCCUGGAGAGGGUGGCCUGAUAUUGUGGCCCUCUGCUCCACCUGGAAGGGCCAGGAACGCAGAACUUAUUGUUCCUGGCCCAAAUAAAUAUGAAAAAAACAGACACAAAUGGUACAAAAGUAGUGGCUGUGUAACCACUGGUGUUCUCAGCUGUGAUAAUGCUGUGAAAUGAUAUCUGCUAUUGUGAGCUUAGAGAAUAAAGGUCUGGGUGGCUGAAUAAAUAAAAAUAACAUAAAAUGGUGCUGUGAGCCCUUUUCAGUUAAUAAUCCCAAGUAUCCAAGAUUAGGCAUUUCCCAUAAAACCUUCAUGUUUUCAGUCAUUUUAUGAAAUGACAACAUAACAAUAACAACAUGACAAUGGCUUUAUAAUAGGACAAUAGCGUACACAUCUUACACACGAGCCAGAGCUAUUUUUCGCAGUAAAGUUGCAGUGAAUUGAUCCAUAAAAAAAGGAAAAAAAAAAAAGAUAAAACCAGGGCUGCUUUUCUGAAGACUUCCUUAAGUCAGAAGCAAAUGACUGGGUUCAGCAAGAGAGUCUCCUGAGAACAUUCUGCAUGUUGGUUACCCAGUAACCUUGGUGGUGCCUCCUGGGUUUAAAAUCUCUGAAUCGAUGUGGUACUUAGCGGGUUUGAUAAUCUGUGUCCACGUUACCAGUGAGGUUUAGGAAUCCUGGCUAAGUCUUCUGUCUUGGGAAUGAGCCCAGGAAAUGGGUGAUGUGCUACAGACUGGGAAGGUACGAGGAGGCUCAGUGGUUCCUCCACGAGGAGCUGAGGCUGAGGCUGAGUGCAACGUUGCAGCACGUGGGUCUGAAGCGAGAGCCAGUCCCCCAGCCCUGCAGGCUGCUUCUGGGACAGUGGCUCCUGCAGGAUGGAGUUCACGUGGAGUGAAGCAGCUGUGUAACUGCUCUUGCUCAAACAGCCUGUAUUUGUUUUUGUAUUUAUAACAGGCAAUAAUGUCUUGGCUCUUUCCUUUUUCAGAUACAAAGGCAAUACCGAGACUCCUAAAAUAUCUCUAUAUUGGCCCUUACAAUAAUUCUUGGGGCACUGAAUCAUUUCUAAAUGAUCAAAAUAUGCAAGGAAGGAGCCAGAUCGUAUAACAACAGAAUGACUUGAGCCUGAGUCAUGGCUAGAGGUGGAAUCCCACCUCAAGAAAAACUUAUUCUUGGGGUGGAAGAAUGUAUUAGUCUUCGUCUGAGAUGAAAAAUUAAAACUCGGGUGCUUUUUGUGACAUAGGACAAAAAGCAAAAGCAGGAAACACAAGAGGAGAACUUCAGGGAGAGGGGCUGGAUCACCUCUGUUCCUCUUCCCCGGCCAAAAAGGUCUCUGCCGGGAACUCCCUAGGGUGAGUCUGACAGCACCAAACUCUGCCCAUGUCCUGUCCUCGCCCCCAGGUGUGAUGGAGGAGGCACACCAGAAGAUGGAGAGGAGUAGUUCUCCUCAGAAAUAGAGUCAACAACAGGCGUCCUUGUCAAACAUACACAUCACCUCAAUUUCUAUAGUGAGAUAUUUGGUCAGGCCCUGGUUUCCUCAUAGCAUGAAUAUUACCUUCACAACCUCCAUGAGCCUGGCCUAUUAAAUGUUUUCAGGAGACUCAACUGAAGGCGCAGGCUGCUACAGGAGCCACUGAAGAGUUAAACUGGCAGUGAUUUUACAGCUGAUGUCCCUGACACAAGGUAAGAACAGACUCCCUGAGGGACUUGGCCGUGGUGAGCCCUGUUAGUGGGAAGCAUUUAUCUGGUCAAGGAGCUGAAGGCUGCUCUAGCUGCAAAGGGAGCACCAUGCUGGUGGGGGUUAGUGGUGGAGACGUGUCCUGUCUGCAGCCAGGAGUUUGGCUGCUCCCGUGUUCCCAGGUGCCAGCAGUUAUUUACAGCAUAACCUGCAGGGUGCGAGUCCAGCAGAUGCAGAUCUGCUUGGCCCCUGUCAAGUGAUUGCAUUAAGUGCUGCUCACACCAGCAGCCCCGAGAGGGGCCUGACCCGGCUCUGACCGCUGCCAUCUGGACCAGUACCCACCAGCUCAUCAGACACACAGAUCGGCUGCUUCCACAUCUGACACCAGACCUACUGCGUGCUGAGCCAGACGCUUUGAAAAGCUUUGCUGGUGUCACAGGGAUGUUCAGGCUGCUGUGAGCACCAGGCAACACUGAUCCCUCUUUAACACUGACAUCGGGAUGUGUCAGAGCAGUGCCUCUGGCAUCUCUGGAGCUGCACAGGUACAGGGGGUACAUGGGAGGAGAGGUCCUGGGCUGGCAUGUCACCUCCUGUGUGUCGAUUUGGGGCCACUUGUGGUGGUGGGGUUUCUGCAUUCAGCUUUUCAGCUAUUCUGUAUUUCUAGGGCAGAACAUGUCCUGACAAGGACUUUCACUAGUGUCGGUGAGAAGUCGGGGGCUCAUGAGCCAGACAAGUAACAACUGCACUGCUUCACAGGGGGCAAAGCCUCCAUACCAGUUUGAACUGAAGAUCUGGGCAGCAAGGUGCCAGUCUUGCAUUCCUGCACAAUCUUCAAGUGCCAGAUCUCCCCCUGCCCAGGCUGACCUGGAAGCAGAUAUCCCAACCAGCUGCAGCUCGUCUGUCCCACGAGCUGCCAGCUCGGUACUGCUCCUCUCCUUCCCAUGGCAUGAAGACAAGUACCUGAGUGAAGUCUGCUUUGACCCCCAGGUUGUGUGGCCUCACUCUGCCAGCACAGCCAUGGUUCAGUUGUCCAGGAUGCAUUUACAUGCUUCUAACAUAUAUUAGUGGCUGACUUUACAUGACUGGAGCUGGGUACCACCAGGAUCAGACCUACUAGGCUGACUGAAAGCUUCCCUGCAAGCUAACGUGAAAGCUAUAUAUCGAGGCAGAAAGAGCAAGCUCUUCUACUGGUCCAAAUGACAUCUCUCAACACGUAGGGUGGGUUUCACCUGCCAGGAUCAUACAGGAAACACAUUAAAACUCAGGUCUUCUGGUUCUUCUUUCUUCAAGCAGCUGUGAGCCAGCUGCAGGCAAAGUUCAGUUCCCCCACAGUGCAGUGAAGGAGAGGCAAAGCAGAGCUCAAAUGUGAUUUCAGAGGCAAGAAUGAAAGGACACUUCCAAGGCCCACUGAGAGUCAGGAAAGCAAUUUGAAGGCCAAGGGGCCGCAAAUCUGAUGGUAGGGCAGCAGAGAUCAGUGUAAGUGUAUGCUGAGGCAUGAAUUGAAGAAGGCCAGCAAAGAGCACAUGAAGCAGAAUGGCAUCAGGUCCGGUGGGUCAGGCACAAUCACGCACUCCGAGGAGCAGAUUACAUGGCUGCAGCAAUUGAUAUGACAGGCAUCAGAGGAGGCUAUCCAUCUGCGAGAGCGCUCGGCCGAGGCACACCAUCCCAUUAACGUCUGCUAGACUGGAACGAGAUCAAAGGGAAUACUCCUGCUGCAGAAGGUAUCCAGCAUCAGAGGAGAGACUAAACACUUGGUAAUGGUCUGACCAGGAAUGCUUGCCAACAUACAGCCACACAGAUCAUGACAGAGAUGAUGCAGUAGGGCUUGUACAGGGUCAGACAGGCUCUCUGUAUGUCCUGCUUUUUUCCACUGUGUGGCAUGGGAGUCUUACCGUGGCCACUUUUCCUGUUGUGGCCAUCCCCACAUCUAUUUUGGCAGCUGCUACAGGUACAGCUGAGCCACGCUUGUGCACUACUGUCCUGUGCAAAUAUUGCUGAUGCUUUCUUUAGGGCUUGGUUUGUUAUUUCUUCUUAUUCUGCUCAUUCCUUUUAAAACAAAAACCCAUCAGGCUUUUGAACACAGUUGCUUCUCAUGCUGGGGAAAUAAAUUGUACCCAGUGCACAUGACCUAACCAUGCCUAUUUGAGUAGUAGCUGUAAAUAUAAAGGCACAGCUACAGUAAGGAACCUUUUCCCUAUAGAGGCAGGAAACCUAGACUGGAGAUAUUGCAAUGGGCUUCAUCAUCUUGCAGGGUCGUAAGCAGAACUUGACAUCACAAACUUCCAUUAACACCCAAGUCUUUUUGGUCUGUCCAAAGAACCAUCACCGAGUGGUGGCAGCAGUCCUGCCCAGGAGCCUGCCCUGCUUCUCCCCUGCCAACCUCUCUCACAGGGGAGCGGGGGGGGAACAGAUGUGGAGGUUGACAAAGUUGGCAGAAGUCUUUUGGCUGACUUCUGUGGGUCUGUUGGUUUGGGAUGGGUGCUGCUGUUUUGCAGUGUGCUUUAUUGCCUUGCUGUAAGGUCAGUUCAAUAUCUCUCGUGUGCUGGCUGGGCCACUGCCAAAAAGUAAUGUAGCAAGACAAGGACAAUGCUGAGAUGAAGAGAAGUGGAUGAGCUCAGUGCUCUCAAUGUUAAUUAUCAGGCGUGAUCGGCCUUGCUAAAAACUUCUCAGGCCUAGAGCCACAUUUUCUCACUUGCCUUUUGUCAUGAUGGUGAUGGAUAAAUGAAUGGUAUCUACCAGGCCCAGCUCCUCAGGGAGAUGUAAGUGCUCAAGACAACUUCUGUACUAAAAUUAUCUUGUGACAUGCACGGGAGGUUGUGAUGUGUGGCCCCUUUUCGUUGAUUUUUAUGUCUGCACAAAGCGAGCUCUGCGAGAGCCAAGUGGCACAGGAGCAGCCACCAGCUGCCUGGACCUGGCUGUGCAGCUGGGACAGACUGGGAAGCACCCACAGGGCUAAAGAAGAAUAAAUGGUGUGUGCCAGAAACUGGGACUUCUCACAUUUUCCUGGGAUGGUUCCAUUUUACUGGGGCAACACAAUGAGACAUCUCCUGGCCUGUGGAUGGAAAAGUAAGAAUGUCCUUAGUGUGUGCCCAGCGCACCUGUAAGUGCACACUGUGACACUGAGACCAACCUGUUCCUUGAUCGUGAGCACUCAGGAGCUGCCAGGAUGUUUUCCUUGCAUUAUACUUGCAGGAAUGGAUUUGAGAAUGGAUUUGAAAUCCUGCAUGGAGGCACCUGGUGAGGCCAUCCUGUUGGUAUCGGACAACAAAGUCUUCAUUCUCAGGGGGAUGUCAUUUUCUUUCUCCUUGCUAUUCCAGCAAGACCAACCAGGUGUAUUUUUGGAGCACUGGUCCGUCCUGUUCUCAUUUUAUAUCUUCUAGCUCUGAGGUUGGAUACAUCCCUCCCUAGUAGGGCCCACUCCACAUUUCUUCAAUGCAUCCUGGUGGUGAAGCUGACAGCCUGAACAGCUCUCUAGGACAUAAGGAGCUUUAUUUAGGUCAGUAACCUACUGUGCUAGCAAAACCCUGAGCUCACCAUCCCAGACAGUAUAUGACAGUGACACCCCUUACUUACAAAAGUGACUGGACUCACUCAGUCAAGGCUUUGGCUUGAGAGAAUGGGCUCAACUGCACAGUCCAAAAACAGGGACCUUUCUGGGGCAAUCCCCAAGCAGAAGAAAGCAUCUGGGGUCCCAGUACAGAAAUGAAGCUGAGUCAGCAUUUCGCAGCAGACUGCAAAAAGGAAAAAAAAAAAAAAGUUUGAGAGAUGAUACCAAAACCUCAGGAUUUUUGCUCUGAAGCAGAGUUUGCUGCACCCUGCUAAUGGACAAGUACCUUCAAACACCACCUCAGAGCAUGAACCCCCUGCAAGGUGAUGAAAGAGCCACUCAAAAAUCACAGCAAGUGUUUCACAGCUCCCGUGUUCACAGCUGAGGAGUAGCAUCACUCUGGGCUGCUCGUUCCCAAGCAGCCAUACCAUGACCCAUCCUCAGGGCCAGCUACUCCAAAGGAUCUCUGUGCACACAACUGCUCCGAGCUGAGGUCCGGGACAUGGUGGGGCAUGGGAGUGACCACGGCAUGGCACACAGUGGGAUGAAGUGUCAGAGACAGCAGUGAUGCUGGAGGGGAGCUGGGGCCACUAGAGGGAAGCAUGAAGCCGCUCACGCUAAUGGCUUCUGAGGAUGGAGAUGGGGAGGCUGAGAACUGGCAACAAAGAACAAGGAGCUGUGGGGAUGUGGACAGGCAUCGUUAACUCCUAGGGUGCUGCUGCUCUGUGAGCACCUAACACUUGUCCUCGGCAGGUGCAGCUGAGCAGGCAGGAGUGUGAAAGCCAUGAGACAUCUCCGAGUGGUCCAAGCCCUUCUUGGCUGCCCAGAAGGAGUCAGUGGGAUCUCACCUUCCCCAGCACGGGCUGGAGGUUCCCUAGGAGCAGUGGUGUGCCUCUCUGCUUUAGCAUGUAAAGAAAUGUGAGGUGAAAGGGGCUGUUCCUAGCUGAGGGAUGUGCUGUGAGCCUCAGCUGAGACUGUGGGUCCUCUUGGUGUCCAAGGGUGAAUAGCAAAUAAUAAAAUAAAAUAAAUUAAUCCCCCA